GACGAACGCUGGCGGCGUGCUUAACACAUGCAAGUCGAACGCUGAAGCUUGGUGCUUGCACUGGGUGGAUGAGUGGCGAACGGGUGAGUAAUACGUGAGUAACCUGCCCUUGACUCUGGGAUAAGCCUGGGAAACUGGGUCUAAUACUGGAUACGACAUGUCACCGCAUUGUGGUGUGUGGAAAGGGUUUUACUGGUUUUGGAUGGGCUCACGGCCUAUCAGCUUGUUGGUGGGGUAAUGGCUCACCAAGGCGACGACGGGUAGCCGGCCUGAGAGGGUGACCGGCCAAACUGGGACUGAGACACGGCCCAGACUCCUACGGGAGGCAGCAGUGGGGAAUAUUGCACAAUGGGCGGAAGCCUGAUGCAGCGACGCCGCGUGAGGGAUGACGGCCUUCGGGUUGUAAACCUCUUUCAGCACGGAAGAAGCGAAAGUGACGGUACGUGCAGAAGAAGCGCCGGCUAACUACGUG
Molecule: ribosomal RNA, 472 nt
Filed under: uncultured bacterium
Lineage: Bacteria
Description: partial 16S ribosomal RNA
Rfam family: Bacterial small subunit ribosomal RNA
Source: RNAcentral